GGCCGGUUAGCUCAGUUGGUUAGAGCGUGGUGCUAAUACGAUCACCCUGAGAUCUCCACGGGUUUCUGUUAGAAUACGCCAAGGCCGAGAGUUCGAGCCUCUCACCGGCUA
This is a non-coding RNA of Piedraia hortae CBS 480.64, 111 nucleotides long. Lineage: Eukaryota; Fungi; Ascomycota; Dothideomycetes; Capnodiales; Piedraiaceae. The record is from the annotation of a GenBank genome assembly.